Molecule: long non-coding RNA, 3138 nt
Organism: Dermochelys coriacea (leatherback sea turtle)
Lineage: Eukaryota; Metazoa; Chordata; Testudines; Dermochelyidae
Exons: 3
Source: RefSeq, a predicted model, not a curated record
GUUGUUAAAUAUUUAUAUUAUGGUGGUACCCAAAUGCCCCAUUUGGGCUUGAGGGCCCCACUGUGCUGGGUGUUGUACAAAUACAAAAAGGAAACAAUCCCUGCUUCGAAGGGUUUACAGUCUAACCAGACAAAGGAUAAGGGAUGAGAUACAACAUAAAAGCAAAUAGACCCUUUCUGGCUUUCCAGUUGCUAAAUCUAACUUCUUUCCUGGUUAAUGCGAUGCAGGGGCUCUAUAUCUCGCAAUAUCUCUGUGGCUAGGGAUGUCUCCAUUCCUCCACUUUUAUAGCUAGAACUGCCUAUGUAAAUGCAUUUUGCAUGCACUGAAAAAGCCAAAUAAAUGGGCAGUUCUCUGCAUCUCUUAAUUUUUCUAAUCUACUUCUAUAUUGAGAUUCCCCCGGGAAUCUAAUGCACACGUGGUUAGGGGUCUAGUACUCUUUGUAUGUACCUUAGUACUUGAGUCUGGAGGCGCCUCCUGGAAGAGUCUUUAAAAUUCCCACGAAAAUCUCCCAAACGCCUGCGUAGUUUUGAUGUAGACUACAAGUCCCAGCAGCCUCAGCGGGAGCCUUCUGCCGGGUGAAAGCUACAUGCGAAUCAGCAGCAGGAGGACAGGGGCAAGCUGAAUAGGGUGGAGUGAAAGGGGGAGCAGGCAGCACUGAAUUUCAGUAGGAAACAUACGUUUGCAAAGCAAAUGUUUGUGCCCAGGAGCCCGCCAGUAAAAGCCACUUAAAACGAGGUUUUUUUUCUGUAUGCUUUCUGUAACACCAGCUGUCACCUAGGGCACAAAUAAGGCUCCACAAUCCCUGUCUAUCCUGGAUGGUUCUUUGCCUGUCUCCUAUGUUCUUAAAUCCCAUAAGUUUUCCCUCUCUGAGUACUGUAUGACAAAGGGAUUCUUUGGGUUGGCCCAUUUUUGUGUACCCUAUAACUAAGAGACUGUGAGAGCCCAAUCCUCUGGUGAGAUUCAAGGCCUAUCCAGAGAUGGAUUAGAUGGUGAGGAAAUCUGUUCUGCCUCCCUCCUCAGAGAUGCACUAAAUGAGCCGCUAGCAGUUCCUCCUCACUCACACACUUCUGGUUAUGCCCUCAAUCUUCUGUUUUUCAAAUAAGCUAUUUGACAUGUCUCUUUUAACAUAUUGCUAUUUUUUAAGGAGCACCUUCAAUGUACAUGGACACAGAGGAUUACAUGGGUGCUGCACUGCCCCAAGGUCUGUGGUUACGCUGCCAUUUUUCUUAAAAUCUCCCACAGCUGUAAUUCCCCCUGUGCUGCACUGCUGAUGACACAGCAGUUAAAACACUGGCAGCUGAUCUACACUAGCACUUCCAUCUCUGCUACCACAAACGGAGCUGCAAAGGUGGGAGAUUUUAAAAGAAAAGCCAGAGCAAACAAGGUCAGGCAUGUACAGUCUGACGUAGUCAGACAGUACACAAUCUACAUUAGGGCUCUUUCUCAAAGCAGGACAGACAGACAAUUUUCUUUUGUUGCAGGACAAUAAAGCACAUUAGUAAAUUUAACUACGUACAGAGAUCACUUUAUCUACAAAUGAACUCCUGAGAUGUGACAUGCCACUGUUCAAGAAUGAACAGCAAAUCUAACAGUUUACAACAGGAAAUGAAAGAUACUCCAUCAAAUUUAAAGUACAACACAAGGUAUAAUAGAAAGAAUAAUGCUACUGUAAACAACCUAUUGCUGUUGGUUAGAUUUCAACCUUCCUUUUUCAAACUACUAAUUAUAUUGUCUCAUUCUGUAAUUCUAUCAGGUCUUAAUAUCUUUGCACCGAGUGCAUACUGGGAAGAAAGACCUUACACCAUCACAAAGGAGCUGUAGAAAGUGGUAUUGGAAAUUAAAUACAUGGUACUCACUCACUUGUUUAAUAAAAGUAACCAUGUCCCAGCAUGUUUUUAGCAGUGCUCUAGGUGUGCUCUUUGGAAGAGAUGCAGUAUCAAUUUUACUUAUGGUAUGAUCCCACUCACAUUUGGAACGAAUUCCUAAAUCAGUCUUAGAGCUCAUCCAAAAUCUAUGUAAAAAAGACUGGAGAGCGGAACAAACUAUCAGUGAAACCAAGCAAGAAAGCAGCAGAGGACUGGGUAACUGAAACAAAGAAAGCGAAAUGGAGCCAAAAUGAGGUGGAGAAGCAACACUGGGUAAUCAAAGGAGGAAUCAGUCUGCAGCUGGGUGCUACAGUGAGGCCAUAAGGGAUGGGAAAUCUCUUGGGGACACACAGGACUUUUGCCUAAGAUUUGAAUUACCUAGGUCCCAGUAAUCAUCAGUUAUGGCCACCUUAAAAUUUAGCUAGCAAUUUGACAGGCACCUUCCUCACAUUAUUCUUCAUAUAACAGCAUUUAAUUGGAAAAUGCUGAGUGUUAUUUUAAAUUGACUAGUAAAUAUUCCUUUUUUAAAGAUUUAUUUAAAAGAAGUGAUGCUUUAGCAUCUGUCUUGAGAGAAAGAACUUGGGAGUUACUUACCUGUGCAAUUUGUAUGGCCUGGUUACUGUUGAGAUCCCACAUUUUGGCAGUUUUAUCACAAGAGGCAGUAAAUACUUUACUCCCAUCCUAAAACGAGAGAAAAAUAAUUCAGUUUCAUAAUUUUUAAAAGAUUAAAUAUUAACUGCACCACAGUAUGUGUAAUUUUAUGUUUGCAAUAUCCAAUACUCAUUAAAGAAUUGCUGGCCUGAUUCUUCACUGCCUAGUACUUGUGUAGUCAUUUAAUAAAAUGGGUAUGUAACAUAAUACUAUUCUGAGAGUACUUGCAUAAGAGUAAGUGACUAUAUUCGGUGCAAGGUGAUCUACUCCUGGGGGAAUUCUGUGCCACUCAUUGCGCAUGUGCAGAAUUUAUGUCCCCCGCAUAAAAAUGCCUUUCUGACAGGGAAGCAAAAGGAACCUGCAAGAGCAGUCACGCAGCACUCCCUUGCUGCACAGGUACAUCAUUUCAGGCACCUGGAGCAGCCGGCAAAGAGGUAAACCACCGCAGGUUGGGGACAUCCCAGCAAGUAGCUCCUACUCCGAGUCGGGAUCAGCUGAUAGUCCUGGCUGGGCUGGAGGCAGGAGAGGAUGGGACUUCCUCUUUCCCUGCAUGGAGUGGCUGGGGUCAUGUCAGACCCACCCCCAGAAACUUCUACCAGCUGCAGGAAGCUCAGCAUCCUCC